UCAUGUUUGGGCUAGCACUGCUUUUCACCUCUGUAAUAGUCAUCAAGGCACAAGGUAAGUGACAUUAUUGUGAUUCAAAUUUAAUAGCUAUUGAGUAUUAUGGUUACAUAUCAUGUCUACAAUGCUCAUUCAAUUUUAGUUGUUUGCUACAGGCUUUGAACUGCAACAAUGGACUCUGUACCCCUGCUUGCCAAAUUAAGACUCUAUUACUUUCUUUUUUCAAAUUCAUCUGUACAUUUUAGGUAUAUAAAUUAAAACAUGCUCAACAGGUCCUUCAGCAAUUUCAUGACCAUGAUAUUUCUUAAUUAUCAUGGACAUGAAAUUGCUGUAAUGGUCAGUUUAUCAAUAAACUGAAAAAUAUACAGUGCCAUCAUGUCUCUCACUAAACUUUAUUUCUAUGACAUCACAGAAAUCAUCUAGCUCCCUAACCUUGUAAAUGGUUAAGGGGUCCUUUUUAUGUUUCUGUUGAAUUUACUGCAUCCAUGGUACAUAUUAUGCCACCAAAGUUUGUGACCGAUCUAUAUAAUGGACAGUCAUCCAAAGCUUCUCAAACUACAGCCUUUCUUGUCUAAUAUUGUACUAUUUAAUGGUUUUAUGAACCAAAUAUCACCUGGUAUUUAGAAAGUGAACUACUUGGAUGGAACUUAUAUAUUAAAGGGACACUAUAGUCACCAAAACAACUUUAGCUUAAUGAAGCAGUUUUGGUGUACAGAUCAUGCCCCUGCACUGUCACUGCUUAAUUCUCUGCUAUUUAGGAGUUAAAUCACUUUGUUUAUGCUGCCCUAGUCACACCUUCCUGCAUGUGAUUUACACAGCCUCCCAAAACACUUCCUGUAACGAGUCAUCUAUUGUUUACUUCCUUUAUUGAAAAGUCUGCUUAAUUUAGAUUUAUUUUUUUUCUAAUCUCCUGCUCUGCUAAUAGCUUGCUAGACCCUUCAGUAGCCUCAUGUGUGUGUGAUUAGUUCACUUUACAGAGCAGGAGAUUAAAAAAAAAAAAAACUAAAGCAAGUUACUUCUGAAUGAAAAUGAAACUAUUUUGUUUUCAUGCAUGCUGCUGUCAGUCACAGCCAGGGGAGAUGUGGCUAGGGUUGCAUAAACAGAAACCAAAGUGAUUUAACUCUUAAAGGACCACUCUAGGCACCCAGGCCACUUCAGCUUAAUGAAGUGGUCUGGGUGCCAGGUCCAGCUAGGGUUAACCCAUUUUUUUUAUAAACAUAGCAUUUUCAGAGAAACUGCUAUGUUUAUCAAUGGGUUAAGCCUUCCCCCUAAUCCUCUAGUGGCUGUCUCAUUGACAGCCACUAGAGGCGCUUGCGUGCUUCUCACUGUGAUUUUCACAGUGAGAGCACGCCAGCGUCCAUAGGAAAGCAUUGUAAAUGCUUUCCUAUGAGACCGGCUGAAUGCGCGCGCAGCUCUUGCCGCUGCUGCGCAUUCAGCCGAGGGGAGGAGAAGAGGAGGACGGAGGAGGAGAGCUCUCCGCCCAGCGCUGGAAAAAGGUAAGUUUUAACCCUUUUCCCCUUCCAGAGCCGGGCGGGAGGGGGUCCCUGAGGGUGGGGGCACCCUCAGGGCACUAUAGUGCCAGGAAAACGAGUAUGUUUUCCUGGCACUAUAGUGGUCCUUUAAAUGACUUGGAACUGAGCAGUGAAACUUCAGAGACAUUACAUAUACACCAAAACUUGCUUCAUUAAUCUAAAGUUAUUUUGGUGAAUAUAAUGUCCCUUUAAGUCCAGUAGGGAAAGAUCCAGUUACAGGUUAGCAGUAUAAAGUAACCACUUAUAAUAGACUCAUCCAGGAUUUAUUGUGCAUUGACAAGAGAACACCCAUAAGGUUACACAUUGAUAAAAUGCUAAUUCAAUUGAGGGAUAAUGUUUAGAUAAAAAAGUUAUCAUCCUCUCUGUCCAGGAUUGUAACCAAAAGAUAAAAUAGACACCUACCAAUUAGAAAUUCUAUGCUAAAAAGAGCAUAGAUAUAACUAUGUAAUUGGGUGUGCUUAAAAUGUUAUCAACACUCCUGUACAGAGAAAAAAUGAAUAUCCACUAAACUAUGUAUUUGACUAAGAAGUGCAUAUUUAGAAGAGUAUAGUAAGUUGAUGAGGCAUAUAUGAUAAGAAGCUUAGAGCAAAUGAUUUAUUACUGGCAUUUAUAAAGCGCCAACAAAUUGGGAAAAGACAAACACGAUAAGAACAGACCGAUACAACAGGUAGAGGACCCUACCCGUGUGCUUACAAUCUGAAGGUUAAACUGUGGAAAUGAGACAAGAGGUAGCAGAGGGAUUUGUAUGUGAUUGCAGAUAGAGUUAAUAGUAUAACUGCAGCAGCUGAUAGCAUAUAAAGGGAAUGAGGAUGUGAUUGGCUGUGGUUCCAAACAGCUGGAAAGUAAUAGCCACAAUGGCUCACAACCUAUGAGAAAACACGCAGAAGUAAUCAAUUAGAGGUUCAUUCUACAUAUAAGAAAGUAUGAGCCUAGAGCAUAAUAAUCAGUCAAAUUCGUAUCACUCCUUAGUUCCUCUAAAGUAGGAGGAUGAACAAAGGAUAGUAUAGUGAAGAGGAGGCUAGAUUUAAGAUAGCUUGUAGUAGUAAUAUGCUAAUACACACUCUGAAUAAUCUGAUGGUUUUAAGACCUGAUUACCCUAAAUGUACUAAAAUCCUCCCACGUGUAGGGUCAUUGUAUUGUUAAUGUAAUUUGUUUGGCUGCUGGUUGGAAAAUUAAAGUUUUUAUUUGAGCUUUUACCAGUUCUAUAACACCUUAGAAGGCUAAGGACACUGCUGGUGAUGGAGUUACACCUCUGGUAGCAAUCUGCUAUAUCUCUAUAGAUAUAUAUGUAAAAAGUUAAGUCUUAUGUCCCUUUGUUCCAAUAUACAAUACUUAAUUUACUUACUAAUGUAUUUCAUUUCAUUUGUUGUAUCAGUGAAGCAUGGAACUUGCCCUCCUGAGAGAUAUUAUACUCCCUCUACGGAUAUUCCUCAUGCUUUAUGCACCAGGGACAGUCAAUGUGGUGGUGACAAAAAGUGCUGCUUAGAUAAUGGCUAUACAUUCUGCAAACCUCCAGCAAAAGGUGGGUAAACAGCAGUGAGAACUCACAGCACCCUUAAACAAACACACAGCACCCUCACACACACUAACAGCACUCACACUAACAGCACACUUACACACACAGCACACUUACCCACACAGCGCCCUCACGCACACACAGCGCCCUCACGCACACACAGCGCCCUCACACACACAGCACCCCCAGACACACACAGCACCCCCAGACACACACAGCACCCUCAGACACACACAUAUAUAAUAUAUAAAACAACCCUCAGUGAGUUAGACAAAGAUAAUUAGACACAUAUAAUGUGAUGGCAGAUAAGAACACGCUCACACAUACACAGCACCCCUCUUACACACACUGCACCACUACACACAUUACGCUCCAGAUACACGCUAGAUCCCUUACCCAAUUCUGGAUCAUCUAAUCUACACACAUACACACAGUAGAUCCCUAUAUACACUCUAAAUCCUAUACACAUACACACACACACAAUCUCCUAUACACACUCUGGGUCCUUUACACACUAUAUCCCCUACACACACACACACUGCACCAUCUACACACACUACAUUACUGACAAACAAACUCUGUAUCCCCUAUGCACACACUACAUUCCUUGCUAGCAAACGCAUGCUACAUUCUCUAAACACACACUCUCUACAACCCCUACACACACUACAGCCCUUAUGCACACACUUGAUACAUCCCCAAUACACACUAUGCCCCCUAUACACACACACACACACACUCUACAGCCCCUAGUAUGAUACACUUUCCUAGCCCUUUUGUCCUCUGGUAUCCUACUUAUGGAGACACCAGAGACAAGUUAAAAGCAAACACAGCGUAAGCAUGUUAUUAAAUUUGCCUGCGCUGCGCAGAACAAAUACAGGGCCUUUUUCUCAUGCUAGAGCUCAUCAGCAGAGCUGUGCGCAUUGAACUAAAAUGCUCACUGAAAGGGGGCGCGCUGAUCAUUAGUGAUGACAAAACAGACUGGCCCCGCUAUGAAUGUUAACUAUAUGUAACAUUGCAUAUCAAAAUGCGUCAUGAUAAUGUAUGGCAUUUUCUUGUCAACAACCUAUCUUGUUUGUGAUAUGUAUUAAAAGAGAGAUCUGGAAAGUGUCCCCCAAGUAAAGAAACUGAAAUAAAGAAUCGUCAGGACGUAUGCACUUCAGACAGUGAGUGUGCUGAUGGAUGCAAGUGCUGCUUUGGUUCAAAUGGAAAAACCUGUCUACCCUCUAAUAAAGGUAACAUUACUCUUUCCUAAUCACAAAAACACUCAUAAUAAUGUUACCCCUAUUGUACUUUUGUACUUAUUCAUUCUACUCUUCUUCUAUGCUUUCCAGAUUCCUCUUUUUUUCUGUCUAUCGGGUACUAAACAUGUUUUGUUUUUCACUCCUCCCUGAUAUUAGUUGUUUUUUUUUCCCUUGUUGCUUUCCCCUUCUGUCCAUUUCUGUAAAUUCUUCCAUAUCCCUUUUUUUAUUCCCUCCAUCUCUUCAGUUUAUCUCUCCUUCCCUAUUGAAAUCAACUGGUUUAUAUAUUUUACGUGCUGCCCAAUUCCUUUUCCCAAUUUUAAUUUCCUCUCGGCAAAGAACGUCCAAGCUAAGUGUCCACUAUGCAGAAAUUACAUUUUGGAAUAGGAAUUUUAAUAUUUCCAGUUGAUGUUCUUCACCAACAUCCAGUUGAUGUUCUUCACCAAAUAAAAUUUUGGAAUAGGAAUUUGAAUAUUACUAGUUGAUGUUGUUCCCUGAUUCAUGUGGCCUUGUAUUUGCUUAUAAUACUCUCAACUAGACAAGACUGUUACAGAUAUAUUAUAGAGACUGGUGAUGUCCGUUCAGAAAAGGUUUUAAUAUUGAUACAUAGAGGUCAGUCUUAGCAACACAGCACCAGUACUACAGGCAUGCAGGACAGUGCACAAUAAGUACAUUUUAAGAAAACAAAUUAAAGAAUAAGACUAAACCCUAAGAAUGGGCAAUUCUGGUCUUUGUAAUAAUGUGAUGUGUUGUAAACUGAGGGCUAGUAAUCAACUAACCCUUACCAUUUCGGCCUAAAAUUGUUGUAAAUUCAUUAAGGAAUUGAAAAUUUUAGUCCAAAGUAAUCAAAUGUGAGAAACUCAGCAAGUGCACUAUAUUUUUACUUUUUGGCCUUUAAUGUAGUAGUUUUGGUGUAAAGACCCUGUCCCUUGAGAAAUUUAAGACUGCCCAGCGGUGAAUUACCGUUGAGUUAAAAAAAAGUUUAAAACACUUUUUUUUUUUUUUUUUAGGGGGGUGGGAAUACUGCAUGAAUACUUUAUUGUAGGGCUCGGGAGAGCUAAUGGAAGCUACUGCUUAGUAAUAAUAACCCAGCUAAGAAGUCAAACUGUUCUAAAAUCUUAAGACUACAUACAGUGGAGAGCUGUAGUGUUCAUAAUGCUUAAUGUUUCUUUAACUUAUUGUGUCAUGAAACGUAGAUGGAGAUGUGUAUUCAAAGCUGGAUAUAACAUACCUUAAAGCACCACUAUAGGCACCCAGACCACUUCAGCUCAAUGAAGUGGUCUGGGUGCCAGGUCCAUCUAUGGUUAACCCUGCAGCUGUAAACAUAGCAGUUUCAAAGAAACUGCUGUUUACACUAGGGUUAAUCGAGCCUCUAGUGGCUGUCUCAUUGACAGCCGCUAGAGGCGCUUCCUCGCUUCUCACUGUGAAAAUCACAGUGAGAAGAUGCUUACGUCCAUAGGAAAGCAUAGAGAAAUGCUUUCCUAUGGACUGAUUGAAUGCGCGGGCGGCUCUUGGAAGAGGGAGGAGAGUUCCCCAGUGCCGAGGGAGCUGGAGAAAGGUAAGAGUUUAACCCCUUCCUCUUCAGCCCGGCGAGAGUGGGACGUGUUUGUUUUCCUGACACUAUAGUGGUCGUUUAACAUAACCUUACAAUGGAGGCUCACAUAACUGAACUGAAAAACUUAAGAUGAAUGGUUGGAUGGUUGACUGGAUGGAUAUUUGUUCUUCCCAUUUGUGAUUGACAGCCUGGCACCCCGACCGGGUACCACCAUAGAUCCCACGAACCACCGCAGCUUGUUUGGGGUCUCGCCGUCCUCCACCCACCAUGGACCCAAGACCGGAAUUCAGCUUCCAGUGGGUAGACCUCUCCUAGUCCAGAGUGUUACAAAAGACUGAAACUAGCUAUGUUACUGUUUGCUAACCGAUGGAUACUGUUUGUCCCUGGCUAAGUUUAAAGCGAAAAGACGCACGAACGGAUUAUCCGAACCAUUAUAAAGGACUCAUUCGUGGUACGAACAGGGGACCCCCCCAGAAUUGGCGUGUGCCGCCACUUAACCCCGUCACCCCGCAAACUGCCGAACGCUCGACCCCCCAGCCAGCGGCGUGUGGCAACCAUUAACCACCCAGGCAGCUGCAGUUUGCGGUUAACCACAAUGUAAUUGAUAAGCCUGGGGGCAUCGACGUUCGCCUCGAAAUACCGAACGGAAUCUACAGAACUAACAACCGAACGACGACCCCCCACCGUGGGCCGCGUAGCGGUCAUUAACUUGUGGUUUCUGCGGUUAACCGCAGGUCAAGUACCCUGCUACCAGGUGGCCCCAUUCCCUUACCGAACGAGCCCCACUACCAGACAAACAGCGGGACUUCGCAUGAACUGAUACCGAGUUUAGUUCCAGGAGUUAGACACGAAGUCCCGCUGCUCGCUAAAUCAGCAGAAAACAUGGCCGCCAACAAACGCUCACAAUCUCAAAAUGCCGAACGGACUUUAUACAGCAGGAACAGUCCAUUCUGUUCGUGAGAUUAGAGCGCCAUUCGCCUGUUUCAUCUAUACGAACGCGAGCCUUCAGCUGAAUGGUAGAAUGAAUGGUUUUCCGAUAAUAAUGUACAAGUUAUGGAUUUUUAUACAGUUUUCUGGGACAUAAUAAAACGUGGUCUUUUGUGCGCUUGGAGAUAAUUAGAUUGUAAAACCGUUGGCCUCAUUAUCUCCAAGCUGGGCGGGUAAUAAUUCAAAUGAUACAGUGUACUGUGAUUGGUUACCUGUUUGUACUGUACCUGUAUUCCAUCAGGUCCACAGGGGGCUGUCCUUGGACCUGAGGAAUUACAUAAAUUGCCAUGCUAUGUGCCAGUAAAGCCAGUUCGUUUUGACCCUCAACUUGCAGCCUCGACUCAUGUUGUAGGGAUCCGGGAUAUUGAUGCCUAUUUCGUGCUUAGGGAUAUUCUACACUUGCAGAUUGCUACCGAAGGACCUCCGUUCGACUCUCUACAGCGGGAACCAGGACAUCCAAGCGAUCAACCCUCCUGCUAGACCGGGGGCAAUUGUAACACAGAGAGCAUAGCAGGAACAGCUCUUAUAAGAGCUAAUGAUUAUACUCAGGGAGUAUUGUGAUAUACUUAAAAUAAUAAGGUGCGCUGUGUCUUUAAGACCCAAUUAUGACGCGUUUCGCCGUGUUCACGGCUUCAUCAGAUCUGAUGAAACGCGUCAUCACACAAGUUACGCAAGUUACGCACCUUACGUCACGCACCUGAUGAAGUCCCUCCCCCCGGAAGUUUGAGGAAACAGACGGUAAUAACGGCGGCGAACAAACAGAGGGAAUAGUCGACACCCUUAUGCUGCAUAUAACCGAACACUCUGAAACCUAAUACUGAAUGUGGAGGAAGGUGACAUAUUUGUGCUGUGCUGGGCAAUAAAUAUUUUGGAAUAUUUUCGUCUGUGGAGUCCUAUAUUUGAAGAAGCUGUUAAAGUUAGAGCAGGCUUAUUCUGCUCUACUUUUGUGAGUGCAAUAUUUGGCAUUUAUAAUUUAUAUUUUAUCUUUUAAACUAUUUUACACUAUUGUUUUUUUUCUGUUUCUCUCUUUUUUUCUAUGUAUAUUUCCAUUUGAGAGGACAUAUGUAUGUAUACUAUUUUAUAUUAAUAUUACACACUUUAAGUGCACUUUGUAUCACUUUGCACUUUAUUACAUAGUUUGCACUUGUUGCACUUUGUAUAAUUGGGUCUUAAAGACACAGCGCACCUUAUUAUUUUAAGUAUAUUCACAUGAGUGUUUGGAGGAGUUUUUACAUUUGUUUUUGGUGCAGCUUCAUAAUAUAUAAUAUUUGUUGGUUAGUUAUAUUCUAGACUAUUUUAUUACGAGUGCCUACUUUUUACUUGUUUUUUGUGUAUAUUUAGUAUUGUGAUAUAGCAAUCCCUAGAGUGAAUGUAGUUCUCCAAUCCCCCAAACAUGAGCCAAGACUUCAUGAAGGGGUAAACAAAUCUCUCUUUAAUGGGAGCCACACUUGGCCUUAUAUGACAAUCCCCAUGCAAGGGGUACGCCCACAGGGACCUAGUGGGGCAAUGAUUUGCAACUUCACAGACCAAUAACAAUAAGGUUACAAGGCACGCUACUCUCCUACACAGCACACAAACCCUCCUCUCUGCUUGGGAGAUAAAUGUUACACCCCCUGAUAUCCCUGAUCUGGGUGACCAACAUAUUCAAAAAUCACCCAGAUCAGUUCAAGGGUUCAGGAAUUUCCUGGAAAUCCUUUUUUUGACCGACCGUGCACAUGGUCCUAUGCCCAAAACAGUUCCAUGGAAUCAGGAAUAACAGUCGGUCUCUCUGUCUGCAGUACAAAAGUACAUACUUCUAAUGAACAGAGCCUUUUAAAGUGCAUUGGGCAAGGUAUAUUGCCGGGCCCGUAGAUCUGAGGCAAGAGGCUGGCCAGCAGACCCCUCCAAAAACCUGUGACAAGGUUCAGUUUGUCACACCAUUCCUUUAUCCACUCAUUCAAUCAAUUCAUUUCUCUCAUCCUUAGUACUUCCACCACUUUCAUUCAACACAAUGUUUUGUCCUUACUCUCAUAUUAACUACAAACCACAACAUGUCUCUUAAAUUACACUCAAAGCAUCAUAAUUAACCUAAUGUAGUGGUCAUAUUGGCAGGAGUGUCCUUGAGUGUCCCGUGCAGCCACCCCACACUCUCAGCCAAUGAGUUCUUCUCUUGCAAACAACUCACAUCCAGCUUUGACAGCUCAAGAAGACCAGAAACAGUCAAAGCAUGCUAAACUGCUGUGACAGAUUGCAGUGGAACAGGACCAACCAGGGCACUACUAGCAAACUGUAGUUGUAAUAUUUCAUUGAGAGUCCUUUAAAUGUAUGACAUUUUGUUCUAGUUUACUCUUGCGUUAUCGUUUUCUCAUUAUCUAUGUCAUAACUAUGUCAUCUACUUUCGUUGCAGUGAAGAAAGGUUUCUGUAGACAGCCAAACACUUUUCGUUGCUUGAUAAGGGAGCGUUCCUUCUGCGAGAAUGACAGUUCUUGUCCCAAAUUAGAAAAGUGUUGUCCAAAAAAUUGUCACUUCGAG
Pelobates cultripes (western spadefoot toad) is the source of this 9339-nucleotide non-coding RNA. NCBI's taxonomy places the organism in Eukaryota, Metazoa, Chordata, Amphibia, Anura, Pelobatidae. The record is from the annotation of a GenBank genome assembly.